RNAcentral lists this ribosomal RNA (397 nucleotides) under uncultured bacterium. Its description in RNAcentral is "partial 16S ribosomal RNA". It matches the Rfam family "Bacterial small subunit ribosomal RNA", at positions 523 to 918 of the family's 1533-position model. The record is from RNAcentral.
AUACGUAGGUGACAAGCGUUAUCCGGAUUUACUGGGCGUAAAGGGCGUGUAGGAGGUCUUGCAAGUCAGAAGUGAAAUUCCUGAGCUCAACUCGGGCGCUGCUUCUGAAACUGCAGGACUUGAGUGCUGGAGGGGAUAGCGGAAUUCCUAGUGGAGCGGUAAAAUGCGAAGAAAUUAGGAAGAACACCGGUGGCGAAGGAGGCUAGCUGGACAGUAACUGACGCUGAGGAGCAAAAGCGUGGGGAGUAAACAGGAUUAGAUACCCUGGUAGUGCACGCCGUAAACGAUGAAUACUAGGUGUAGGGGGUAUCGACACCCUCUGUGCCGCAGUUAACACAAUAAGUAUUCCGCCUGGGGAGUACGGCCGCAAGGUUGAAACUCAAAGGAAUUGACGGGG